GGUCCCCUUCCACACAGUGGAAGCUUUGUUCUUUUGCUCUUUGCAAUGAAUCUUACUGCUGCUCACUCUUUGGGUUCCCACUGCCUUUAUGAGCUGUAAGACUCACUGCAAAGGUCUGCAGCUUCACUCCUGAAACCAGUGAGACCACGAACCCACUGGGAGAAACGAACAACUCCAGACGCGCUGCCUUAAGAGCUGUUAACACUCACUGCGAAGGUCUGCAGCUUCACUUCUGAGCCACCAAGACCACGAACCCCCCAGAAGGAAGAAAUGCUGAACACAUCCGAACAUCAGAAGGAACGAACUCCAGACACGCUGCUUCCAAGAACUGUAACACUCACCGCGAGGGUCCGUGGCUUCAUUCUUGAAGUCAGUGAGACCAAGAACGCACCAAUUCCGGACACACUAUUGCAGUACUCCACGUAGGAGAUGAUAAUGGCUUAGUAUUGAUAAUGACAGGAUGAAGUAUUUGUACUCGGAAAUAUUUUGAAGGUCAGGCUGAUAGGAUUCGCAGACUGAUUGAUGAGGAGUGUGAGAAAAAGAGAAGAAUCAAGAAUGAUGCCAAGAUUUUUAUCCUGAGCUGCAGAAGAAAGGCCUUUGGAAAAAACACUGAGAAAGCAUUUCAGGUAUCUGCCAUGGAAAAUACCAUCAAGUGGGACACCCGCAGCGAUCUCUGUACCCACAAAAGUCACACUUGCUAUCCUUGGUGAAUUUUCCUUAAAAACUGUGGAUGAACUUCCAG
RNAcentral lists this long non-coding RNA (742 nucleotides) under Homo sapiens (human). RNAcentral's name for it is "non-protein coding lnc-SDC2-1:2". Lineage: Eukaryota; Metazoa; Chordata; Mammalia; Primates; Hominidae. The record is from RNAcentral.